UACAGAGGUCUCGAGCGUUGUUCGGAUUCAUUGGGCUUAAAGGGUGCGUAGGCGGCGCGACAAGUUGGGUGUGAAAUCCCUCGGCUCAACCGAGGAACUGCGCCCAAAACUGUCGUGCUCGAGGGAGACAGAGGUGAGCGGAACUUAGGGUGGAGCGGUGAAAUGCGUUGAUAUCCUAAGGAACACCGGUGGCGAAAGCGGCUCACUGGGUCUCUUCUGACGCUGAGGCACGAAAGCUAGGGUAGCGAACGGG
RNAcentral lists this ribosomal RNA (253 nucleotides) under uncultured bacterium. RNAcentral's name for it is "partial 16S ribosomal RNA". It matches the Rfam family "Bacterial small subunit ribosomal RNA", at positions 524 to 776 of the family's 1533-position model. The record is from RNAcentral.